RNAcentral lists this ribosomal RNA (4217 nucleotides) under Enterobacter hormaechei. RNAcentral's name for it is "23S ribosomal RNA". The stretch from base 1384 to 4217 matches the Rfam family "Bacterial large subunit ribosomal RNA". The record is from RNAcentral. Lineage: Bacteria; Pseudomonadati; Pseudomonadota; Gammaproteobacteria; Enterobacterales; Enterobacteriaceae. RNAcentral also lists the same sequence under 1 other name.
UUAAGCGACUAAGCGUACACGGUGGAUGCCCUGGCAGUCAGAGGCGAUGAAGGACGUGCUAAUCUGCGAAAAGCGACGGCGAGGUGAUAUGAACCUUUGACCCGUCGAUGUCCGAAUGGGGAAACCCAGUGUGAUUCGUCACACUAUCGUUAACUGAAUACAUAGGUUAACGAGGCGAACCGGGGGAACUGAAACAUCUAAGUACCCCGAGGAAAAGAAAUCAACCGAGAUUCCCCCAGUAGCGGCGAGCGAACGGGGAGCAGCCCGGAGUCUGAAUCAGCUUGUGUGUUAGUGGAACGGUCUGGAAAGUCCGACGGUACAGGGUGAUAGUCCCGUACACGAAAAUGCACAGGUUGUGAACUCGAAGAGUAGGGCGGGACACGUGGUAUCCUGUCUGAAUAUGGGGGGACCAUCCUCCAAGGCUAAAUACUCCUGACUGACCGAUAGUGAACCAGUACCGUGAGGGAAAGGCGAAAAGAACCCCGGCGAGGGGAGUGAAAAAGAACCUGAAACCGUGUACGUACAAGCAGUGGGAGCCUCUUUAUGGGGUGACUGCGUACCUUUUGUAUAAUGGGUCAGCGACUUAUAUUCUGUAGCAAGGUUAACCGUAUAGGGGAGCCGAAGGGAAACCGAGUCUUAACUGGGCGUUAAGUUGCAGGGUAUAGACCCGAAACCCGGUGAUCUAGCCAUGGGCAGGUUGAAGGUUGGGUAACACUAACUGGAGGACCGAACCGACUAAUGUUGAAAAAUUAGCGGAUGACCUGUGGCUGGGGGUGAAAGGCCAAUCAAACCGGGAGAUAGCUGGUUCUCCCCGAAAGCUAUUUAGGUAGCGCCUCGUGAACUCAUCUUCGGGGGUAGAGCACUGUUUCGGCUAGGGGGCCAUCCCGGCUUACCAACCCGAUGCAAACUACGAAUACCGAAGAAUGUUAUCACGGGAGACACACGGCGGGUGCUAACGUCCGUCGUGAAGAGGGAAACAACCCAGACCGCCAGCUAAGGUCCCAAAGUCAUGGUUAAGUGGGAAACGAUGUGGGAAGGCACAGACAGCCAGGAUGUUGGCUUAGAAGCAGCCAUCAUUUAAAGAAAGCGUAAUAGCUCACUGGUCGAGUCGGCCUGCGCGGAAGAUGUAACGGGGCUAAACCAUGCACCGAAGCUGCGGCAGCGACACUUAUGUGUUGUUGGGUAGGGGAGCGUUCUGUAAGCCGUUGAAGGUGUGCUGUGAGGCAUGCUGGAGGUAUCAGAAGUGCGAAUGCUGACAUAAGUAACGAUAAAGCGGGUGAAAAGCCCGCUCGCCGGAAGACCAAGGGUUCCUGUCCAACGUUAAUCGGGGCAGGGUGAGUCGACCCCUAAGGCGAGGCCGAAAGGCGUAGUCGAUGGGAAACAGGUUAAUAUUCCUGUACUUGGUGUUACUGCGAAGGGGGGACGGAGAAGGCUAUNCCCAGUGCAAUUCGUUGCACUAUCGUUAACUGAAUACAUAGGUUAACGAGGCGAACCGGGGGAACUGAAACAUCUAAGUACCCCGAGGAAAAGAAAUCAACCGAGAUUCCCCCAGUAGCGGCGAGCGAACGGGGAGCAGCCCGGAGUCUGAAUCAGCUUGUGUGUUAGUGGAACGGUCUGGAAAGUCCGACGGUACAGGGUGAUAGUCCCGUACACGAAAACACACUUGCUGUGAACUCGAAGAGUAGGGCGGGACACGUGGUAUCCUGUCUGAAUAUGGGGGGACCAUCCUCCAAGGCUAAAUACUCCUGACUGACCGAUAGCGAACCAGUACCGUGAGGGAAAGGCGAAAAGAACCCCGGCGAGGGGAGUGAAAAAGAACCUGAAACCGUGUACGUACAAGCAGUGGGAGCCUCUUUAUGGGGUGACUGCGUACCUUUUGUAUAAUGGGUCAGCGACUUAUAUUCUGUAGCAAGGUUAACCGUAUAGGGGAGCCGAAGGGAAACCGAGUCUUAACUGGGCGUUAAGUUGCAGGGUAUAGACCCGAAACCCGGUGAUCUAGCCAUGGGCAGGUUGAAGGUUGGGUAACACUAACUGGAGGACCGAACCGACUAAUGUUGAAAAAUUAGCGGAUGACCUGUGGCUGGGGGUGAAAGGCCAAUCAAACCGGGAGAUAGCUGGUUCUCCCCGAAAGCUAUUUAGGUAGCGCCUCGUGAACUCAUCUUCGGGGGUAGAGCACUGUUUCGGCUAGGGGGCCAUCCCGGCUUACCAACCCGAUGCAAACUACGAAUACCGAAGAAUGUUAUCACGGGAGACACACGGCGGGUGCUAACGUCCGUCGUGAAGAGGGAAACAACCCAGACCGCCAGCUAAGGUCCCAAAGUCAUGGUUAAGUGGGAAACGAUGUGGGAAGGCACAGACAGCCAGGAUGUUGGCUUAGAAGCAGCCAUCAUUUAAAGAAAGCGUAAUAGCUCACUGGUCGAGUCGGCCUGCGCGGAAGAUGUAACGGGGCUAAACCAUGCACCGAAGCUGCGGCAGCGACACUUAUGUGUUGUUGGGUAGGGGAGCGUUCUGUAAGCCGUUGAAGGUGUGCUGUGAGGCAUGCUGGAGGUAUCAGAAGUGCGAAUGCUGACAUAAGUAACGAUAAAGCGGGUGAAAAGCCCGCUCGCCGGAAGACCAAGGGUUCCUGUCCAACGUUAAUCGGGGCAGGGUGAGUCGACCCCUAAGGCGAGGCCGAAAGGCGUAGUCGAUGGGAAACAGGUUAAUAUUCCUGUACUUGGUGUUACUGCGAAGGGGGGACGGAGAAGGCUAUGUCAGCCGGGCGACGGUUGUCCCGGUUUAAGCAUGUAGGCGGAGGUUCCAGGUAAAUCCGGUACCUUGUUAACGCUGAGGUGUGAUGACGAGGCACUACGGUGCUGAAGUGAUAAAUGCCCUGCUUCCAGGAAAAGCCUCUAAGCAUCAGGUAACACGAAAUCGUACCCCAAACCGACACAGGUGGUCAGGUAGAGAAUACCAAGGCGCUUGAGAGAACUCGGGUGAAGGAACUAGGCAAAAUGGUGCCGUAACUUCGGGAGAAGGCACGCUGAUGUGUAGGUGAAGCCCCUGCGGGCGGAGCUGAAAUCAGUCGAAGAUACCAGCUGGCUGCAACUGUUUAUUAAAAACACAGCACUGUGCAAACACGAAAGUGGACGUAUACGGUGUGACGCCUGCCCGGUGCCGGAAGGUUAAUUGAUGGGGUUAGCGGCAACGCGAAGCUCUUGAUCGAAGCCCCGGUAAACGGCGGCCGUAACUAUAACGGUCCUAAGGUAGCGAAAUUCCUUGUCGGGUAAGUUCCGACCUGCACGAAUGGCGUAAUGAUGGCCAGGCUGUCUCCACCCGAGACUCAGUGAAAUUGAACUCGCUGUGAAGAUGCAGUGUACCCGCGGCAAGACGGAAAGACCCCGUGAACCUUUACUAUAGCUUGACACUGAACACUGGUCCUUGAUGUGUAGGAUAGGUGGGAGGCUUUGAAGCGUGGACGCCAGUCUGCGUGGAGCCAUCCUUGAAAUACCACCCUUUAAUGGCUGGUGUUCUAACGUAGACCCGUGAUCCGGGUUGCGGACAGUGUCUGGUGGGUAGUUUGACUGGGGCGGUCUCCUCCCAAAGAGUAACGGAGGAGCACGAAGGUUGGCUAAUCCUGGUCGGACAUCAGGAGGUUAGUGCAAUGGCAUAAGCCAGCUUGACUGCGAGCGUGACGGCGCGAGCAGGUGCGAAAGCAGGUCAUAGUGAUCCGGUGGUUCUGAAUGGAAGGGCCAUCGCUCAACGGAUAAAAGGUACUCCGGGGAUAACAGGCUGAUACCGCCCAAGAGUUCAUAUCGACGGCGGUGUUUGGCACCUCGAUGUCGGCUCAUCACAUCCUGGGGCUGAAGUAGGUCCCAAGGGUAUGGCUGUUCGCCAUUUAAAGUGGUACGCGAGCUGGGUUUAGAACGUCGUGAGACAGUUCGGUCCCUAUCUGCCGUGGGCGCUGGAGAAUUGAGGGGGGCUGCUCCUAGUACGAGAGGACCGGAGUGGACGCAUCACUGGUGUUCGGGUUGUCAUGCCAAUGGCACUGCCCGGUAGCUAAAUGCGGAAGAGAUAAGUGCUGAAAGCAUCUAAGCACGAAACUUGCCCCGAGAUGAGUUCUCCCUGAGACCUUGAGUCUCCUGAAGGAACGUUGAAGACGACGACGUUGAUAGGUCGGGUGUGUAAGCGCAGCGAUGCGUUGAGCUAACCGAUACUAAUGAACCGUGAGGCUUAACCUU